This 339-nucleotide small RNA is filed under the name Vigna angularis var. angularis. RNAcentral's name for it is "Non-protein coding transcript". The record is from RNAcentral. Lineage: Eukaryota; Viridiplantae; Streptophyta; Magnoliopsida; Fabales; Fabaceae.
UGCAACCAUUUCUUGUUUGGAAAAAGGGUCGAGCCACUCAGCCUCCUUCAAUCCCACCACCAAACCUAUUCUUCUUUCUCUUUCACUACAACCCUUCUUAAAUCAGUGUUCUGGUCGUGGUUCUCUCUCGUCGAGCCCUCCUUCCCCUUCAGUGGAGCCUCGGUUCUCUUUCGUUGAGCUUUCGUAGGUCGCGCAUUGAAACCCUAAUUUUCCCUCAUUCGAACCAUCAUUGUGCGGCCUUGGUACCGUGGUUAAUUGAUACUUUUCGUGCUUGCGUUUUGAUUUCCGCAAUGACCUCCAAAGGUCUUAGAUCGAAGAUUGAUCACGAGAGUAGAGCCA